This is a long non-coding RNA of Pomacea canaliculata, 2125 nucleotides long. RefSeq lists it as uncharacterized. The transcript is spliced from 3 exons. The record is from RefSeq and is a predicted model, not a curated record. Lineage: Eukaryota; Metazoa; Mollusca; Gastropoda; Architaenioglossa; Ampullariidae.
AGUCCUUAUCACGACUACAUGAUAAUGCCAGUACUAGUAGUAGACUUCUUGCAAACGAUAAGAACUUCACCUGUAGGCAAUUUCUAACAUCAGAGAUAUGGUUAAUGACCUUUUCUAGACUACUGCACUAUUUCAAGAUGAAACUGACACAUAAACAAACAUAUCAGCUUCAAAUAUUCAUACUAGAUUGAGUCUGAAAAUAAAAGAAGUAAAUGUUAUACAGGGUCAAAGGACACAACAGUUUAAAUAUUCUUUUGGGAGAAAAACGUUAUAACUUCAGUGCGCUAUAAGUAGCAAUACUGAGCUUUUUCGAGGGAAUUAAGAAUGGAUUCUAUUAUUCCAUAUUCUUAUACAUUAUAGCUUGAGUUGUCAACCAGGUCAGGAAUGAAGACAUGCGGUUGAUGUGUCCAUGUGAUUAAGAUAAUCCCUGUUUACUUGUUGUUCCAGUGAUCAAAAGGUAAGUAUUUGUUCUUUCUAUAGAAUACAUCAUUUGUACCGUGUGAUCACAUAUCACGUAUUUUUUCUUCAUUUAAUUAAAAUGUAUUUUUUCUGUGUGUGAGGCUAUUUUGUCGUUUUAUCAGAAUGUCAGGAUGACAUGCGAGAGAGGUAAUGACAGUCAGCAGACCGGCCGGCACCUUGAAGAUCUUGUUUAAGUAUCUUGGCAGUUAUUUCACAGACGACAGCGAGAUAAACAGACGGAGACCCAAAUUCAGAAAGUCUGUACCCUUGCCAAGUGAAAAUAAAACCCACCACCAAGGGAGGCUAAGGGAGACAGCCCCGACAGAGAAACAGGUGACUGACACAACAUCUGGGUGGAAACUUCCCUUGAUGGAAGUACCAGCCGUGGCUACUGCCUGUUGGUCAUCUCGGGAAAGGAGCAGACCCUACAGAAAAGCAGGCAACUGUCCACUGGGAGGCUUUCUCUUGCUGGCCUCAGUUUACCCACGCUCAGUGCCCACGUGUUUCCACUACUACUGGCACCAGUUAAGGGAUGCGAAGAAGAAGAAUAGUAUUUACCAUCCAUCUUCCACGCACAGAGGGUAGUCAAAAAAUAGUCUCAUCAUCCUUUUGCCUUCUGAAUGUGCAGGAGAAAGGGGAGCUGAAUCUAUGGGCACAGAGAGAGAAAUAGGGAUGGGAAUGGGAGCGAGCAAGAGAGAGCUGCGUGUCGGAUGGUUCCACAGCCCCUUCAUUAAAAACUUUGUGUCCCAGUUGUCGAAAAUAGCUGUCAACCUGUCACCUAUAGAAGGAAGCACAAGACCUCAAAUAUUUCCCUAGUUCACGGAGGCUGUGCAUGAAGACACAAGAUUCAGCUGAAGCCACAGCCAAGUGGACAAUAACAUCACAGAUGGAAAAGUUAGGACAGAAAUCAGUUAGUACGAAACCCGAUUCUCCGGCUAGUAUAAAAAAAAUUUAGGGGGAAGGAGAUGCAAUAGAAGCGAAAUUAUUGAGUGCAGAUAAGUUUUUGCUGUCUCCGCUCCCUCUUUCAUCUCCGACUAAACGGCUAUGACUAACGAUCCUUUAAGAACUAAAGCCAGUCAUGCAAGCAGCUGCAGGUAGGCACAGACUGCAGGACAACUUAUCAGGAACACGCCGUAAAUAUGUGUCAACAUAUCUGUCAUACACAGGUCGACAUGCCUGCUAAGGUGGACCAGGUGUGGCAGAAAAGCGCAGUGACACAGAGCUAGCACAGCAGCUCUAGCCAUACUAGCAGUAGGAUGCCAUAUAAAACCGUGCGAGAAAACGACCCGGCGGCAGGUGAUAUGGUGAGCAGCCAUGCUUAUAAAUUUUGUAACUGGAGUUGACGAUUACAGUGCGUUUUAUGAAUGAGGAGGGGUGGGGGUACAAAAAUAAUGGUCCUCUCACCUCAUUAACUUCUCAAAUACAGUGAUUACAAUGAAACAUAUUAAAGGUUCUGUCACAUGCUAACCUGUUACUCCUUUCCUAUACAAGAAAACAUUACAGGAUUAUAUUAGAUAAUCGAGAAAUGAAAACGUGGCUUGGAGAAAUAAAAUCUUAAAUCGACUUCUUCAGAUUUGAAUAUUGCUCCAUGCAUUAAUUGCUUUCGUUUGUUAACAAUGCUUGUAGAUAAUGAACCAGACUUCUGGACAAUCUAAAAGGUCAAUUA